CAAGGAAUUUUCGUCAAUGGCCGAAAGGCUGAACGAGCAACGCCGCGUGGGCGAAGAAGUCUUUCGGGAUGUAAAGCCCUUUUCCCUGUGAAGAAGAAAAGACGGUAACAGGGGAAUAAGCAUCGGCUAACUACGUGCCAGCAGCCGCGGUAAUACGUAGGAUGCAAGCGUUGUCCGGAAUUAUUGGGCGUAAAGAGCGCGCAGGCGGUUGGUCAAGUCAGAUGUGAAAUAACCAGGCUUAACCUGGUGGGGUCAUUUGAAACUGGCCGACUAGAGACCAGCAGAGGAUCGCGGAAUUCCCGGUGUAGUGGUGAAUGCGUAGAUAUCGGAGGAACACCAGUGGCGAAGGCGGCGAUCUGGGCUUGGCACUGACGCUGAGGCGCGAAGGCUAGGGGAGCAAAACA
This 404-nucleotide ribosomal RNA is filed under the name uncultured bacterium. RNAcentral describes it as "bacterial SSU rRNA". It matches the Rfam family "Bacterial small subunit ribosomal RNA", at positions 355 to 775 of the family's 1533-position model. The record is from RNAcentral.